ACAUGAGAUGCUCUCUUCAGUCCGGGGCUUGGUUGAACGGACUCACCAGGAAACGUGACUUUCGUGUCCGACCUCUGCUGUAUCAGGAUUCGAUUCUUGGUGUUAAACAAGACAACGCUGAAGGCUCGGUGCAGCAGCCCUGGAAAGGUAAUCUUAGCAUCUGAUCUUUGCUGUAGCAGAAGCUUAUUUUCGGUGUUGAAUAAGAAGACACUAAAAGCUCGAUGCAAUAAUCCUUUCUCAAUGUUCUCGUUCAGGUGACAAUUCUUCUUGGUCUCAGCUCCAAUUUUAUUGUCAUUUUCAUCAAUAAGGAUACACAUCUCUGCCAGGAGUUGAACCUGUUGCUUGUCGAGGUGGUUAGUGUUUAUUUCAGGCAUCAUUACAAAAUGUCUGAUCUGUUCUAGAACACUAAUAUUAAAGGAAAAGAGAAAGAAAGGC
RNAcentral lists this long non-coding RNA (435 nucleotides) under Homo sapiens (human). RNAcentral's name for it is "HSALNT0157292". Lineage: Eukaryota; Metazoa; Chordata; Mammalia; Primates; Hominidae. The record is from RNAcentral.